CAAUAGCGUAUAUUAAAGUUGUUGCGGUUAAAAAGCUCGUAGUUGGAUUUCUGUUGGGAACGACCGGUCCGCCCAUUGGGUGUGUAUCUGGCUUGUUCUCGGCAUCUUCUUGGUGAACGUUGCUGCACUUGACUGUGUGGAGCGCUACCCAGGACUUUUACUUUGAGGAAAUUAGAGUGUUUCAAGCAGGCAUAUGCCUUGAAUACAUUAGCAUGGAAUAAUAAGAUAGGACCUCGGUUCUAUUUUGUUGGUUUCUAGAGCUGAGGUAAUGAUUAAUAGGGAUAGUUGGGGGCAUUCGUAUUUAACUGUCAGAGGUGAAAUUCUUGGAUUUACGGAAGACGAACAACUGCGAAAGCAUCUGCCAAGGAUGUUUNCAUUGA
This 380-nucleotide ribosomal RNA is filed under the name uncultured eukaryote. RNAcentral's name for it is "partial 18S ribosomal RNA". It matches the Rfam family "Eukaryotic small subunit ribosomal RNA", at positions 592 to 976 of the family's 1831-position model. The record is from RNAcentral.